Long non-coding RNA from Anguilla rostrata (American eel), 1044 nucleotides. RefSeq lists it as uncharacterized. Lineage: Eukaryota; Metazoa; Chordata; Actinopteri; Anguilliformes; Anguillidae. The transcript is spliced from 3 exons. The record is from RefSeq and is a predicted model, not a curated record.
GUACAUGCGAUGAGCCCGCUCUAUGCAGAUAUCUUGGCCUGCUAACGAGGGGAUCCACUUGAUAGGUUCUUCCUGAGGAAACCGAGGCCUACCAACCUCAGAUGUCAUCUCCGUUAGUUUUGAGGGAAGAAGGCGGCCUCAUCUGUCUCUCGGGUAGUGGGAUGCCACAAUGCCAUUGUCACUGUCACUGCUCUGAGAUGUGAGAUUGGCCAGAGCAAGAGGAACGUUAUCUGGCUUUGUUCCUGUAGAAUAAUGAAAAUGAAUUACACAGAGGUGUGCAUUUGAAUGGGGGAUGUAAAAACACAGUAAUGCUCAAAAGGUUACGGUCUCCCUUCCUCACGACAAGCCCAAACAUGUCCCAGAGACUGUGCCAAGGCUGUUGUUACCUGCUAACACCACACGCAGAGCUCCCUUACUGCAAAGGAAUUAAGAUGCUCCGUGCCAUCCGCUGAUCCAGGUGCAUCUGCUGCGUGUCCCUUCCUCUGCGCCAAAUCCCGUUGCUCUGCAGGGAUCUAAACUCACGCCCCUCUGGUGUCACAUUCAGUGCUCAAAGUUGUAACCAUGUAACUAUACACAGGGACAUUUGUGACCUCUGGCUUCCUAACCAUGGGACUGACCGUGUGCUGAGUCAUAUUCACUAUUAAUUAAGUAUAGCGUAAAACCUGUAAUACUUGAUUACGUCAUUUUACUGCUGUUUGUUGUUUGUUUGUUUUGCUUUGCGUAUUUUAGUCUGGAAUGGCAAAUUCCAUGACCUUUUGUUUUACGUUGUUAAAACUUCAUUUUAUGAGACUGAUUAAAUGAACUAACCACGUAAUAAAGAGUUGCGUGUCACUAACCCAUAACACAAAUUAAUGUUUGUUAAAAGGUAGUACUGUUAACCUCUAUGUUUAGCCAUCACAGAAUUAUGUCCUCUGAUUAAGAAUCCUUUAAUAUUAUUCCUCAUUUUAUGCAAAUUAUUGUUUUCAAUUAGCCAAUUCACAUAUUCAUUAUCAUUGCCAUAUAUAUAUCCUUUAUUUACAAACCAUUGUCAUGUCUGUUUCACUA